AGUCCUGUAGCUCAGUGGUUAGAGCACUCGCCUCUCAAGCGAGAGGACCUGGGUUCAAUUCCCAGCAGGGCAA
This 73-nucleotide transfer RNA is filed under the name Callorhinchus milii (elephant shark). RNAcentral's name for it is "tRNA-Glu (CTC) (tRNA-Glu-CTC-24-1)". It matches the Rfam family "tRNA". Rfam says of the family: Transfer RNA (tRNA) molecules are approximately 80 nucleotides in length. The record is from Rfam by way of RNAcentral. Lineage: Eukaryota; Metazoa; Chordata; Chondrichthyes; Chimaeriformes; Callorhinchidae.